Molecule: ribosomal RNA, 490 nt
Filed under: uncultured bacterium
Lineage: Bacteria
Description: partial 16S ribosomal RNA
Rfam family: Bacterial small subunit ribosomal RNA
Source: RNAcentral
AUUGAACGCUGGCGGCAGGCCUAACACAUGCAAGUCGAACGGUAACAGGAAGCAGCUUGCUGCUUUGCUGACGAGUGGCGGACGGGUGAGUAAUGUCUGGGAAACUGCCCGAUGGAGGGGGAUAACUACUGGAAACGGUAGCUAAUACCGCAUAACGUCGCAAGACCAAAGAGGGGGACCUUAGGGCCUCUUGCCAUCGGAUGUGCCCAGAUGGGAUUAGCUAGUAGGUGGGGUAACGGCUCACCUAGGCGACGAUCCCUAGCUGGUCUGAGAGGAUGACCAGCCACCCUGGAACUGAGACACGGUCCAGACUCCUGCGGGAGGCAGCAGUGGGGAAUAUUGCACAAUGGGCGCAAGCCUGAUGCAGCCAUGCCGCGUGUAUGAAGAAGGCCUUCGGGUUGUAAAGUACUUUCAGCGGGGAGGAAGGGAGUAAAGUUAAUACCUUUGCUCAUUGACGUUACCCGCAGAAGAAGCACCGGCUAACUCCGUG